This 401-nucleotide ribosomal RNA is filed under the name uncultured bacterium. RNAcentral's name for it is "bacterial SSU rRNA". It matches the Rfam family "Bacterial small subunit ribosomal RNA", at positions 28 to 412 of the family's 1533-position model. The record is from RNAcentral.
GAUGAACGCUGGCGGCGUGCCUAACACAUGCAAGUCGAACGGAGUUAUUUUGGAAAGUCCUUCGGGGCUGGAAUUUAUAACUUAGUGGCGGACGGGUGAGUAACGCGUGAGCAAUCUGCCUCAGAGUGGGGGAUAACAGUCGGAAACGACUGCUAAUACCGCAUAAUGCAUCGAGAUCGCAUGGUUUUGAUGCCAAAGGCUUGUCUGCUCUGAGAUGAGCUCGCGUCUGAUUAGCUAGUUGGCGGGUAACGGCCCACCAAGGCGACGAUCAGUAGCCGGAUGAGAGGUUGAACGGCCACAUUGGGACUGAGACACGGGCCCAGACUCCUACGGGAGGCAGCAGUGGGGAAUAUUGCGCAAGUGGGGCAACCCUGACGCAGCAACGCCGCGUGAUCGAAGAA